CUCAGUGUCAACCAGCAGGCCUCACAUCUCUGUUUAAAUGGAAGAAGCUAAAGAGGGCCAAGGCAGCCACCAUCUCUGGGACAUUUGCAUCUGUUUUAUGCGGCCUGCAGACCCUGGAGAGAGUGAGGCUGCCGGAUGGAGCAGGAGCCAAAAGAGAUUUGAGGAGUGGUGUCUCCUGGUGACCUGCAAGGUCUCGGCACGACUCCCCACACUACCUUUCCCCUGUUAUCUGCUCAGAUCUGUGACUUCCUCCGCGGAGCCACAGUCCAUAGAAUCCUCGGCCAGCAGGUCCCCUAUGCAACCAAGGGCAACCAGUGGGUAGGAUACGACGACCAGGAAAGCGUCAAAAGCAAGGUCCAGUACCUGAAGGAAAGGCAGCUGGCGGGCGCCAUGGUAUGGGCCCUGGACCUGGAUGACUUCCAGGGUUCCUUCUGCGGCCAGGAUCUGCGAUUCCCUCUCACCAAUGCCAUCAAGGAUGCACUCGCUGCAACUUAGCCCUCUGUUCUUCUGCACACAGCACGAGGGCCAAGGAUGCCCUGUCCCCCUCUGGCUCCAGCUGGCCAGGAGCCUGAUCACCUGCCCUGCUGAGUCCCAGGCUGAGCCUCAGUCUCCGUCCCUUGGAGCCUAUGCAGAGGGCCACAACACACAGAUUUGAGCUCAGCCCUGGUGGACAGGGAGGUAGGGAUGGGGCUGUGGGGAUAGUGAGGCAUCGCAAUGUAAGACUCGGGAUUAGUACACACUUGUUGAUUAAUGGAAGUGUUUACAGACCCCCAAGCCUGGCAAGGGAAUUUCUUCAACUCCCUGCCCCC
This 809-nucleotide small RNA is filed under the name Pongo abelii (Sumatran orangutan). RNAcentral's name for it is "retained intron". Lineage: Eukaryota; Metazoa; Chordata; Mammalia; Primates; Hominidae. The record is from RNAcentral.